Microcebus murinus (gray mouse lemur) is the source of this 386-nucleotide non-coding RNA. The record is from RefSeq and is a predicted model, not a curated record. NCBI's taxonomy places the organism in Eukaryota, Metazoa, Chordata, Mammalia, Primates, Cheirogaleidae.
CAAAGGCCAACAUGAUAUGAGAAAAAAAUGCUCAACAUUACUAAACAUCAGAAAAAUGCAAAUCAAAAUCACAGUGGGAUACUUUCUGAGCAGCAGGGAAGCUGAGGUAUUAUUAGUUGCCCUAUAGAGAGACCCCAGCAGCAAAGAACCAAUGGAAGACUUGGCCUACAGACAGAAAAAUAUUGAGACCCGCAGUCCAAACUGAAACCUGCUGAUUACUGGUGAUUGAGCUGGGAUGAAGAUCCUGCCCAGUGUCCCCUCAGUUGAGAUCACAGUGCCAGCCUCCCUAGAGGCCUUGAGGCAGAGACACCCAGUCAUGCCAGGAUCCUAAAACGCACAAACUUUCUGAUAAUUAUAAUGCUUGUUGUUACAAGCUGUAAGUUUGA